Molecule: RNA transcript, 2844 nt
Organism: Oreochromis niloticus (Nile tilapia)
Lineage: Eukaryota; Metazoa; Chordata; Actinopteri; Cichliformes; Cichlidae
Gene name: ninjurin-1
Exons: 10
Source: RefSeq, a predicted model, not a curated record
GGAUGGCGGCAAUGCACACUGUCGCUGUUUGACAACCGCCAAUAAAACCCACGAAGAAGAACCCGAGGUCGGUUUGGAUAAUGGCGGGUGUUCUGACAGAAAAACAACUUGCUCGUCAUGUGUAUUCUUCGUUGGAGGCUGCAUCCUGUCCCUUGGUUGAAGGUCUGUACCUGCAGGAAGCAGACAGCAUGCUGCAGCUGCUGUGCUCCCCCUCACAGCACCGCACGGACAUACUAGCGUGGAUCUGCAGCAGUAUCAGCCCAAACUUCACCAGUUCAAAGGCGAUGUCAGUGAGAUCCAAGGAGCCUGAUGUUCUGACUAAAGAUGUGGCUGUUCUUGGGCAGGAACUUUUGCUAUGCAGAGCAUCUGAUGUGGACCUGAUUAGGGGUGAUGCAAGUCCUCGGCGGCAGCUUCAGUUUCUGGAGCAGCUUUUAACUUUGGUCCCAGGCGGCGUGAAGUCUGCCGGGCACGCAGCUGAUGGAGAGCUGCUGCUGAAGGAGUUCUUUGGUGCUGAGAGUCUGCCUCACCUCACACAGACACUCAGUCCUGCGUUUGACCCUUGGCCUACACACAUCAAGGCUCUGUGGAAGAACACAAAAUCAUCUUAUAAGCCAAACAGAGAAGAAAAUUGAGAUCUUGUUGCCCUCCUACAGGAGACUCAGUCAGCACUGGAGCAGCUGCAGUCAAAGUGUGUAUUCCUGAACAGCGAGGCCCAGAGUCCUCCCGCUUUCUCUCCAAGCUCACUGCGUGUAGCAGCGUCUGACCUCCAGCUACUGAUGGCCACCUUCAGCCAUGUUUAUGGGACAGACCUGAGAGUUUACUGCAGCAGAGACCCCCCCAGCUUCAGCUCAGAGACAGAAGUCUUCCAGAGGGUCCAACAGCUGCUGCUGGCCUGCAGCACGUAGUACCUGGGAUCUACCUGCUGUCAGUCAGAGGGCUGCCGUGAAGCUGUUCCCAAACUCCGGAGCUGGAAAUGCUGAAGGAAGCGUCAGAAGCUUCUGAGUCCGUGAGCGAGGAGGUGAAGCAGCUUCAAACGCAGCCUCGGUACUGGAGCCGAGCAGAGAAGCACACGUUACCUGAUCAACUGGAGAAGGUUAUCGGGCGAAUUGGAGGCUUUCUGUCUCAGCUUAGUUUAUAACGUCAUUCAGAGGGAUGCACUCAUCAGAUUCAGCGAGGAGGCUCUGGUGGUGUUAAGAUGGAGACAGCACAGCUUGGACGUGUUUCACAGAGGUGUGAGGGACAGACGUGUGUGGUCACUGCAGUCAGACACCCUGUUUAUUCUGAGCAUGACUGACGUGUUGUUGUGUGAAACAGAAAGUGUUGGUGGGUCGAGAGUUUUUACAUCGUUUUUUGGAGAAAUCAUUGAUGACAUUAAAUAUGUUGCUAUGCUUCUUUGUUUCAUGAUGAUUACUGAAACGGACCAUUUUACACUCAGUGGUCACAUCACAUCUCACUGCAGUCGUGCUGGGAAAUACUCCAGAGCAGAGUGGGAAGAAAGUAUGUUCCUACGGUUGGGGUGAAGGAAGCACCAGGCGUCGCAAAGACCAAAAUCACUCAUGUACUGUCUAAUUAUUAGGAUUCAACUUCAUCAUUACACAUGUAUAAGUACAGGGUAACAAAGUACAGUAUAAAUACAGUGUAACCGGUGGACUGCUGAGUGAGCAGAGUUCCCGCUGUGUUGAGCCUGUUCACGUCUUCAUUAGUCCAAAGCUGAGGUCACCACAGAGAGCGAGGGCACAGUCUAGGUGCUCAGAGAGUAACAAACAUGGAGGAAUGAGGGGUCAUCAGGGUCAUAUUUACUGCUUUUUAAAUCUACUCUCCUGAUCUGUAACUGAGUACUGUGAAGUUCAUAUUUAUUGUUCUAUAUUUUGUUAAGCACUCGACUACAUGUUAAGAAAACAGAAAUGAAAACAUUGUUUAUCACGCCACAAUUAUUAACAGUAGUUCAAAGGUCUUAUUACAUGAACGUGAGCUCAACUUGUCCUUGUUUUAUAUCUCAUGUAUAUAUGGCUUCAAGCUCAUGUACAGUGGUGUGAUUCAGAUAUUCAGCCUUCAGACCACCAGCCACUCUAUCUCACACAGUUCUACUCAGCCUGGGUGACAGAGAGCAGCUAUCUCAUCCACCCUGUUUACAAGAGGAGCCUUUCCAAAGACACUGGCUGAAACGAAAGCAGAGGGGAGCUAAACCAGUCUGUCCAGCUUGUACACCCAGUAUGAGACUGGAACACAUUCGAAUAAAUAAAAAUCUAAAAUCAGGAGCAGAGAAAUGUUACUCUGGUCAAAGAGAUUUAAAAACAGCUGAACUCUUCACUUUUGGUGAAAUGUUGAAACUGGGUUCUAAUCACAGUUUUUAGGUUUUAAACUUUAAACUGGUCUGAAUCCAUCAUAAUGGGAACAAAAGGAUAAAAAAUCCCUUGUGAACCCAACAGAGCACCUGAGUAAAGGACGUAUAAUUCUUGUCAUUGCUGCAGGCAGGCUGGCACACUGAGUCGUGUUGAUUCGUGUACAGCCAUAUUAAAAGACAUUUGAGAAAGAUGAGAUACUCCAGUUAAAGGGCUCAAAGUUCUUGUAUUACGAAUGACACGAGUGUUGGAGAGUGACAGAGAGGCAUGCAGUGGGAAUUGCUUAACAAUCCUACAGGAGGAGCAGCCAGACCUGAUCCUGUCUCCAGCCUCGAGCUUUUCUGCAGCCAGUACAGCACAGACUCCAGCAGCAGGAAGAAGAAUGGCAGAGCACACGCUUAAUGCAGAGGACAUGGCUCUAAAUAAACUGGGCGACAUAGAGUAAGCAUCAAGCCCGUCUCGUCCUCUCUGCCCUCGGGGGCCGCGGUGCUCGUAGCUGAAA